This 107-nucleotide Y RNA is filed under the name Propithecus coquereli (Coquerel's sifaka). RNAcentral describes it as "Y RNA (ENSPCOG00000011401.1)". It matches the Rfam family "Y RNA". From Rfam's summary of the family: Y RNAs are components of the Ro ribonucleoprotein particle (Ro RNP), in association with Ro60 and La proteins. The Y RNAs and Ro60 and La proteins are well conserved, but the function of the Ro RNP is not known. Lineage: Eukaryota; Metazoa; Chordata; Mammalia; Primates; Indriidae. The record is from Rfam by way of RNAcentral.
AGCUGGUCCAAGAGCAGUGGUGUUUACAACUAUUAAUAAUUGAUCAUAACCAGUUAUAGUCCUUUGUUCCUCCCUCCAUUCCCACUGCUUCACUUGACUAGCAAAAA